RNAcentral lists this small nuclear RNA (298 nucleotides) under Camelus bactrianus (Bactrian camel). RNAcentral's name for it is "7SK RNA". It matches the Rfam family "7SK RNA". Rfam says of the family: 7SK was discovered as an abundant small nuclear RNA in the mid-70s but a possible function has only recently been suggested. Two independent studies have found that 7SK RNA binds the CDK9/cyclin T complex (known as elongation factor P-TEFb). RNAcentral also lists the same sequence under 1 other name. Lineage: Eukaryota; Metazoa; Chordata; Mammalia; Artiodactyla; Camelidae. The record is from Rfam by way of RNAcentral.
GCAGGUGACGAGGUCUUAACCUCCAUCACUGAUGGCCAGCGUUGGUUCUGCUGAUCCAGGUGGGCACCCUUUCCAUGUCACCAUAGCAUAUGCUUCCUUCCUCAAAUGGCCUGCUUGAUGAAGCAGGAGGACCUUCCGAGAGAGGAAGAUACUGAUUCAUCAAGGGUACAUAAGCAUCCAUGCCCCCUCCUAGAACUUUCCAGUAAACUCCAGUGGUGCCUGUGCAAAAGAGUGCGGGGUAAAGCAAGCUUCCAAGAUAUUAGACACGACUGAUCGGAACUGACAUAGCCUGCCUGUC